GCGCGCUCUGCGCUCUGCUCUCCCAACCUCCAUUCCGGGUUACAUCUGGCGGACAGUCUUGGUACCUGGGACUGAAGCAUCAGGAGGCGACUGUGGCAGCAGAGGGCUACAGCUAUGCAGCUCCUUCCUCCCUCCAGAUACAGCCCAAGACAAGCCUUCAGCCCUGUGUGCUCGGGAGAUACCAUUCUGGGGUCUGUGUAGUAAGGAUGUGCAGUGGAGGAGAGUCAGGGUUACCAGCUCAGCUUUCUAGGCCCCAGACUCCCAGUGGCACCGAGCCAGCUGCCCCCCAGUUCCCCUCAUCCCAGCCAUGGAGAAAGGAUGGGCCAGGCCAACCAUGAGAGAUUUAUUUUACCUAACAUAAUGUCCUCCAGUUCUAUCCAUGAUGUUACCAAUGACAGGAUUUCAUUCCUUUUUAUGACUUGAUAUGACCUAAGUCUCUACUGAUAGCCUCAUGGACAUCCAUGCACAGAGAAAAGCUUCAGAAAAACAUCAUGACCUCAGGAGUAGGGCUCUGCAGAUUCCUUUGGUGACAAAAUAGAAUCAUCUGGCUGCUGAUCUUGGACCAGCACGUGCUGAGGUUUGAAAAUCCUACCAGUCUUCUGUUGGGAUGACCUCCUGUUCUGGGCAUUCUGAAAGGUGCAGAGGAUCCAGCAAGUACCCCUGAGGAAGCCCUCACAGAGAGUGCUCCAUAAAGGGAAGAGUCAGGAUGCUGGAAUAAAACGGACAGCUGCUGGUGAAAUCAGCGAUCAGACUGAGGGAAUAUGAAUCUUCUUGUUUCGCCACUAAUCACAGACUUAAAGACAGCAGAUUCAUGAUGUAUUGUUUACCUAUUUCCAGUUGACAAAGUGUCUAUCUUCUGUUGAAGUGUGAAUGGAAUAUUUCAUUUUAAGGAACCGCAGUUCUCUCUGAUCGUAGAAUGGAAUACGCCAAUUGAAUUUAGUACAGACUAAUUGCAUUUUGUCCAUCUUGAGCUGAACUGUAAAUAAAACAUCACUAAAUCUUACUGGAUGGAUGCAACAGGAUUUUGUUUUUCACUCAAGACAACAUGUAUCCAGGGUUAGUGUGGGUACUAUGCCCAUUCAUAAUUUCUCUGCCCUUCAUAAAUCAUGUGGUUUACUCUGUUAUUUUUCCCUUGGAAGGGACACAUGCUGCUUUUCACAUCUCAUUGGAAAGCAAGUCACAUAGUCACGCUGACAAAAAGAAUGUAAGAAACAAUAGUACUAUGAAUUGGGCAGAAAGAAAAUAUUCAGUGGGCAGGCCUAAUCAUUAUUUUGGUUGUAUUUUUCUGUACUCCUAGUUAAUGUCCUCUGUGUGACUCAUGAAGUAUCACCAGUGCUGUCUUCUCUUCUGAGAUUCUAAGUUAGAGGUCCACAAACUUUGACCUCUGGGUCAAAUGAGCCUUGCUGUCUGUUUUCACAUGGUCUUUGGUUAAGAACAGUUUUUAUAUUUUUUUAAAUGGCUGGCAAAAAAGAAAAAAAAUACUGUAUAAUAUAUGAAAAUUAUGUGAAAUUCAAAUGUGUGCCCAUAAAAAAAGUUUUGUUGAAACACA
Long non-coding RNA from Cavia porcellus (domestic guinea pig), 1549 nucleotides. RefSeq lists it as uncharacterized. The transcript has 6 exons. The record is from RefSeq and is a predicted model, not a curated record. Lineage: Eukaryota; Metazoa; Chordata; Mammalia; Rodentia; Caviidae.